RNAcentral lists this ribosomal RNA (451 nucleotides) under uncultured bacterium. RNAcentral's name for it is "bacterial SSU rRNA". It matches the Rfam family "Bacterial small subunit ribosomal RNA", at positions 340 to 786 of the family's 1533-position model. The record is from RNAcentral.
UACGGAAGGCAGCAGUGGGGAAUAUUGCACAAUGGGCGCAAGCCUGAUGCAGCCAUGCCGCGUGUAUGAAAAAGGCCUUCGGGUUGUAAAGUACUUUCAGUCGUGAGGAGGUGUUAAGGUUAAUAACCUUAGCAAUUGACGUUAGCGACAGAAGAAGCACCGGCUAACUCCGUGCCAGCAGCCGCGGUAAUACGGAGGGUGCGAGCGUUAAUCGGAAUUACUGGGCGUAAAGGGCACGCAGGCGGUUAAUUAAGUUGGAUGUGAAAUCCCCGGGCUUAACCUGGGAAUGGCAUUCAAGCUGGUUAGCUAGAGUCUUGUAGAGGGGGUAGAAUUCCAUGUGUAGCGGUGAAAUGCGUAGAGAUGUGGAGGAAUACCGGUGGCGAAGGCGGCCCCUGGACAAAGACUGACGCUCAUGUGCGAAAGCGUGGGGAGCAAACAGGGAUUAGAUACC